This is a long non-coding RNA of Lolium perenne, 1066 nucleotides long. RefSeq lists it as uncharacterized. The record is from RefSeq and is a predicted model, not a curated record. Lineage: Eukaryota; Viridiplantae; Streptophyta; Magnoliopsida; Poales; Poaceae.
UCCCCAAGCCACUUUUGGCUAAUCAUCCCCUACACUCAACUUUGGCCGACAUGCAUGAAAUGGUAUUGCACUUUGCUUGUCCUCUUGUAAUAUCAAGAAGUAGCCGGCCAUGCCAAGCUCUUGGCAUGCAUGAGCUGAAAUUUCUUCAUCUCCACUUUCUUCUCUUACAAGCCUUGCCUCCCACCUAACCCAAUCACUAAAUGAGCAGCCUCCCAACCAGCCCAAUCAAUGAGGAGGCAGCCAACCAUCCUCCCUCUAUAAAAGGAGCUUGGCCGGCCACCCCCUCCUCCUUUGCUUCUCAUUUUUGACUCUCCACUCCUUCCACCACUCACUCACACCCCUCUCAUACCUCUCCCCCACGAAAUCCUGCUCCACCUAGCUACCAUGGCCGGCCAUGGCCAUGGAAAGGCACCUAGAUGAAGCUCCCCUCCUCCAUCAAGCUCAUCCUCACCAUGAGAGCAUCCCUCUCACUCUCUUCUCCCCUAACCCUAGUUGAAUCCAGCCCUAUUUCUCCUUUCUCCUCUCACAAGAUUGGAUCUUGAUGCAGGUGCAUGUUGGUCCAAGCAUGGAGAAGGUUGAGCUAUCCUCAGAUCUGAAGCUCUUGACCAAAAUCCAAAUCGAGUGAUUCAAAGUUCCGCAGAUAGGUAUUGAAAAGAUCUACAACUUGGCGUUGGUAUCAUCCUCAAAUUCGUUACGGAUUUUGCAUGAUCAAGAUCUGGUCAGAUCUGACUUUGUCGAAUUAAACCAGGAGCUUGGAUGCGAAUUUUUGAAUGAAACCAAUUGGGGGAUAUUUGGUUUAUACCAUGGUGAUAACCGAGAGAGGCAAUUGCUAAGUUGUGAUGCACUCAUACCUUUACUAGAUGCGAACAAUUCCGGAGAAGAAGAAGAAGUGGAAUCGGAUGAGAAGAUUAUUUAUAUUGUUGGAAUUCUUAUAUUGAUGGAGUUGAAGAAGUACAGGGACAAAUAAGCCAAGGCAAGCCAUCUUUUGACCUCUGAUUUGGUGUCUAGUUGGAUGUCAUUUGUUGAUGUCCAAAGCACCUUGGUUCUAUGUGUGUUGUUCUCCUUA